UGAUGACAAACAAUCAACGUCAUGAUUUUUGAGCAAUAUCAUGAUAAGUAGAAGAUGGAUAAAUUCGUCCAUUCCAGAUCAAUCAGGAGGAAGAAACAAGGUCUCUGCUUUAAAAUGACUCAUUUCUCCUCAGUUGUGCUGAUUUCUAGCAGGGUAAAAACACAAGAUAUUCCCAAUAUUAUGUUAAGGAGAAGAUUUCCACACUGGAUGUCAGAGGAUAAUAUUUUGGACAUAUAUCAACUAAAAAAUCAAAUGAAGUCUCUGAAGCAUUUUGAGAAAAGUCUGCCAGUACUGCUGAUGUUAUGCUUUUUGACUUCUGAUGACUUCAGUUCAAGUCCCAGUUGGGCUCCUGAUCAGCAGGGUGGCUGA
This is a long non-coding RNA of Meleagris gallopavo (turkey), 369 nucleotides long. Lineage: Eukaryota; Metazoa; Chordata; Aves; Galliformes; Phasianidae. The record is from Ensembl.